UGACUGAGACUCAACUCUAGGGAAGCUAACUGGCCGGCUGUUGUGAGAUCUUUCUUGGGUCACUUGUCGAUAAAUCUGACUUACCGAGCUUCUCACAUUU
This is a small nucleolar RNA of Prosopis cineraria, 100 nucleotides long. RefSeq annotates it as small nucleolar RNA snoR109. NCBI's taxonomy places the organism in Eukaryota, Viridiplantae, Streptophyta, Magnoliopsida, Fabales, Fabaceae. The record is from RefSeq and is a predicted model, not a curated record. The transcript has a single exon.